CGGCGAACUAUGUGCCAGCAGCCGCGGUAAUACAUAGGUGGCAAGCGUUAUCCGGAUUUAUUGGGCGUACAGGGUGCGUAGGCGGUUGUGUAAGUUUGAGGUUAAAGCCCGGAGCUCAACUCCGGUUCGCCUUGAAAACUACAUAACUAGAAUGCAAGAGAGGUAAAUGGAAUUCCAUGUGUAGCGGUAAAAUGCGUAGAUAUAUGGAAGAACACCUGUGGCGAAAGCGGUUUACCAGCUUGUUAUUGACGCUGAGGCACGAAAGCGUGGGGAGCAAAUAGGAUUAGAUACCCUAGUAGUCCACGCCGUAAACGUUGAGUACUAGGUGUCGGGAAUUAUCUCGGCGCCGCAGCUAACGCAUUAAGUACUCCGCCUGAGUAGUAUGCACGCAAGUGUGAAACUCAAAGGAAUUGACGGGGACCCGCACAAGUGGUGGAGCAUGUGGUUUAAUUCGAAGCAACACGAAGAACCUUACCAGGGCUUGACAUCCAGUGCAAAGGCAUAGAGAUAUGCUGGAGGCUAACAUUGAGACAGGUGGUGCAUGGUUGUCGUCAGUUCGUGCCGUGAGGUGUUUGGUUAAGUCCAGCAACGAACGCAACCCUUGUCAUUAGUUACUAACAUUAAGUUGAGGACUCUAAUGAGACUGCUAGUGUAAGCUAGAGGAAGGUGGGGAUGACGUCAAAUCAUCAUGCCCCUUAUGUCCUGGGCUACACACGUGCUACAAUGGCUGAUACAAAGAGUCGCAAUCUCGUAAGGAGGAGCUAAUCUCAUAAAGUCAGUCUCAGUUCGGAUUGAGGGCUGCAACUCGCCCUCAUGAAGCCGGAAUCACUAGUAAUCGCGAAUCAGACAUGUCGCGGUGAAUACGUUCUCGGGUCUUGUACACACCGCCCGUCACACCACGAGAGUUGGUAACACCAGAAGUAGGUAGCCUAACCGUAAGGAGGGCGCCUCCCAAGGUGGGAUCAGCGAUUGGGGUG
This 977-nucleotide ribosomal RNA is filed under the name uncultured Mesoplasma sp. RNAcentral's name for it is "bacterial SSU rRNA". It matches the Rfam family "Bacterial small subunit ribosomal RNA", at positions 494 to 1482 of the family's 1533-position model. The record is from RNAcentral. Lineage: Bacteria; Bacillati; Mycoplasmatota; Mollicutes; Entomoplasmatales; Entomoplasmataceae.